RNAcentral lists this unclassified non-coding RNA (329 nucleotides) under uncultured fungus. RNAcentral's name for it is "partial contains small subunit ribosomal RNA, internal transcribed spacer 1, and 5.8S ribosomal RNA". The stretch from base 1 to 73 matches the Rfam family "Eukaryotic small subunit ribosomal RNA", at positions 1759 to 1831 of the family's 1831-position model. Lineage: Eukaryota; Fungi. The record is from RNAcentral.
ACAAACUUGGUCAUUUAGAGGAAGUAAAAGUCGUAACAAGGUUUCCGUAGGUGAACCUGCGGAAGGAUCAUUAAUAGAGUAAUGCCCCCCUUAAAAGGGGUAGACCUCCAACCCCAUGUUUAUUUUACCUUCUGUUGCUUUGGCGGUUCGUAAAAGCCUUUUUUUAUUUUUUAAAAGGGCUUUUCCACCGGCUUUGGCUGGUGAGUUACCCGUCAAAGGAUAAUGAAAACUCUGAAAUUUAAAACGUAACUUGUCUGAAUUUAAAAAGAAAAUUAAUUAAAACUUUCAACAACGGAUCUCUUGGUUCUGGCAUCGAUGAAGAACGCAGC